AUUGAACGCUGGCGGCAGGCCUAACACAUGCAAGUCGAGCGGAUGAAGGGAGCUUGCUCCUGGAUUCAGCGGCGGACGGGUGAGUAAUGCCUAGGAAUCUGCCUGGUAGUGGGGGAUAACGUCCGGAAACGGGCGCUAAUACCGCAUACGUCCUGAGGGAGAAAGUGGGGGAUCUUCGGACCUCACGCUAUCAGAUGAGCCUAGGUCGGAUUAGCUAGUUGGUGGGGUAAAGGCCUACCAAGGCGACGAUCCGUAACUGGUCUGAGAGGAUGAUCAGUCACACUGGAACUGAGACACGGUCCAGACUCCUACGGGAGGCAGCAGUGGGGAAUAUUGGACAAUGGGCGAAAGCCUGAUCCAGCCAUGCCGCGUGUGUGAAGAAGGUCUUCGGAUUGUAAAGCACUUUAAGUUGGGACGAAGAGCAGUAAGUUAAUACCUUGCUGUUUUGACGUUACCAACAGAAUAAGCACCGGCUAACUUCGUG
RNAcentral lists this ribosomal RNA (484 nucleotides) under uncultured bacterium. RNAcentral's name for it is "partial 16S ribosomal RNA". It matches the Rfam family "Bacterial small subunit ribosomal RNA", at positions 30 to 507 of the family's 1533-position model. The record is from RNAcentral.